Mercurialis annua (annual mercury) is the source of this 3706-nucleotide long non-coding RNA. RefSeq lists it as uncharacterized. The transcript has 8 exons. The record is from RefSeq and is a predicted model, not a curated record. NCBI's taxonomy places the organism in Eukaryota, Viridiplantae, Streptophyta, Magnoliopsida, Malpighiales, Euphorbiaceae.
AGGUAACAUCAUCAGAUGAGGAAGAGAAGAAUAGCAAGUAAGUGAAAGUUAUGAGAGGCAACUGUAAUGGCAGUGGCGGCGGUGUAUCAAUAAUUCAUGGCCAUCGUCGUCGUUAAUUAGUAACAAAAGGAACUGAUUUCAAAUGAGGAGAAUUAGCUUUGAAGUGAAUGAUUGGUAGUUGGAGGAUGAAGUGGCGGAGAAUAGUCCGAGAGGGACGUGCAGGUGGUUGGUGGUGAUGGUGGUUAGGAAUUAUCUUCCCAGAAAUUUGCCUCGACAAUGAAUAAGGACUAUAAGGAAGAAAAUUCCCCUUAAUGACGUGGAUGAAUUAUAGGUCUGAUGCCACAUAAGCUAAUAUAUAUUAUUUUUUUUAUUUUUUUAAAUGACGUGUAAAUAUAAAUUCGUCAAAAAUUAUACGCUGUUUGUUGUCUGUUAACUCGCUGUUAAAUAGGGACUAACUUAUAACCUUUUCGAAAGUGCAGGGAAGAAUUUUACACUUUUUUAGUACAGGGACCCAUUCUGAAAAAAGUGAUAAUGCAGGGAUCUAUAUAUGCGUUUGGCCUUUCUUGUACUCCUUGUGUUGUCAUUCAAUUCUUAACCAGAAGAAGCAAGCAUGGCUCAUCAUGCCGCUGUCUUCCCUAGGCCUGCUCCUCCACACUACAACAUAACAGAUAUAUGAGGGCGGUUUUGUAGGCGCGGUUCCAUAAAAAGCCCCUAUAUUUUAUCAUUUAAAAACUAAGCCGUUCAUUGUUUUGUGUUGUAGGGGCGGUUGAAUAAGUAUAGGGGCGGAUAUUUAAAAAAAAGACCUAACCCUAAUAGAAACAAUUUAUUUUAAUUCUUCUCUCUCUUCUUUUUCGUCGGCCUCUCAUUCUCUCAACUCAAACACAGUAGCAAUGGGGUGACCUAGAAGCUGAUUCACUUGACUCCAAUGGCGAUCCUGGAUUAUCGAUGAUCUCAUAAUCCUUUAUUUUUGAGAACUAGUAGCUGAAUCUCUCACUUCACUUAGGUUUUUAGAUUUUUGAUUAUUUCACUUCACUCGAGCAGCUGAAUCGCUCUCUUAGGAAUCGUCGGCCUCUCAUCUUCGCGAACCUUGAUUAUCGAUGUUUGUUGCUGUUUGGUUGCUAAUUGCUGGUUUAUUAUCACUGCAAUAUUUGCUGUGAAGAAGGUGACCGGUGUUUGUUUUUGCUAGGGUUUUGUUAUCUUCUCUUUACGCCGGAGGAACCAUUCUUCCACUAAUUUCACAAAGAGUUAGGUUCUCGGCAUCUGUUAGCAUUGGGUUGGAGCUGCUGACUCCUACAUUUCCUUAACAGUUUUUGCUUCUUGCAGCUAUUUCCAACUUUGCAAAACAAAUACUCAGCUACUACUAGAGUUUAUUGAUAUCGAGAAAAGAAAACGGCGUUGACAAACUCGCCUAAAUCCAAAUGACUUGGAAGUAUUGAUAAAUGAAAAAUUUCAUGUCUGGCUCCAAAGCAAGGUUAUAGGUCUAGCGCGUGACUUGAAUAUCUCGAAGACCCGUGAAGAGCAAAGAUUGACCCAAAAUAGCGGUGUAGUUAACAAAUUUGAAGGAGGGGGUGUGGAGUACUUCGGAAAACUAAGAGAUAUUAUUGAACUAAAUUACUAUGGGAGUUUCAAGGUGGUGUUAUUAAUAUGUGGUUGGAUUGAUGUUCAUCAUAGUGCUGGAAUGAAAAAAGAUGAAUAUGGGUAUACAUUAGUUAACUUCUCUCGGUUAAUUCAUACGGGUGACAAUGUAGCUGAUGAUCCGUAUAUUUUUUCCUCUCAAGCUGAUCAAGUGUUCUAUGUGGAAGAUCCAAGUAAUCUGAAUUGGCAUGUGGUUAUUAAAAUUAAACUCAGAGAUGCAUUUGAUAUGGGCCACGAAGAAGGAGAUGAUCAUUCUUUUACUUCUGUUAGUAGGCAGAUUUUAUGUGAACAAAUGCAACCUGAUUGGGUUAGGGUUGAUGUAAACAAUGACGAUUUGUAGUUCAGACCUCCUUUUGAACUGAAUAUUAUUUGAUGCGAUAGGAGAAAUUCUUGAUUUCUCCCGAGACAAAAGGUUGGGUUCUUGAAUCAGUGGGUAAAAAAUGGAGGGAUUACAAAUCUGAUCUGAAGUUACAGUAUUAUAGCCGAGAUAAACCUAAGGAACAAGUCAAAACAAAUGUUCCGAAAGGGGUUGAAAUAACUCAAUGGCGUAUUUUGGUCAAUGGAUGGUACACUGAGAGAAGUCAGAGAUUGAGCCGGAUAAAUACUGCCAAUGCAAAUAAGAAGAAAAACAAACAAACUACUGGAAGAAAAAGUUAUGCAAGACUUAGAAAAGAAAUGGAAAUACAAAGUGGAGUGGCCCCUGAUCGACUUACUUUUUUUGAAACGACCCAUAGAAAGAAGGAUGGCACAUAUGUUGAUGAUAAUAGCAAAGAGCUUAUGGUACAUACUUCUUUCUAUUGCUUCGUUAUUUUUGAAAUUAGUCUGUUAUUUCAAAUGAUAUGUUGAUGACAAUAGCAAAUGAUAUGUUUCUGCUGUUAAAAUAAACAAAUUGCUUUAGAUAUGAAAUCUGUACUAAAACUCUGAUUUAGGUAGCCAAAAGUAAGUAGGAACAGACAAAAUGAAUCUUAGUUAGUAAAAUAGGCUCUUGUUUUCUCAUGGCAAAACUGGAGAGUGUAGCCUACAGCAGUAAUCAAAUUUCAAAACUCAGAGAAUUACAAUCAUAAAAUAUCAUUUAAUAUGAACAUCAUGAAGCCAUAAGCAUACAGAGUGCGUGUAAUUGCAAAAUAAAAUGACACUGCAAAGAUGGCAAGAUGAUUCGGUGUGCACAAGUAUAAUAAGUACAAUAAUCAAAGUUUUUAUAUCAUUUUCUCUAUCAGAAAACUUUUUUGAAUGACUUGUUUUCAGUGACUCGUCUUUUUGUCCCAUUUUUUCUCAUUUGAUUAUCAGAUAUAAAAAACCGCCCCCAUAAAUGGAGCAAACCAUUUUGGAGAUUUGUAUGUCUUAUUGUCCACCUCAGAUCUAAAAGAUAUUAAUCCCAACAGUUGUAGUGCAGUUACCUACAAGCAAACAAAACCGCCCCCAUAAAGCUGUUUUGUUGUAGUGCAGUUACCUCCUCAUUUUCAUCUUCCCCGUCUUCUCUUUCUUUUAAUCCCAACAGUUGGAGUUUUUGCUCGCAUAACUGUCUGCUGCGUCUGAAUAAACGUAAUGCCCAUACAUGGAGACAUUCCAUGUUUGUCAGCACAAAAAUUGUCCUCCAAAAUGAGGCUCUCGCUUUCAUUGAAAAACCAAUUGUGACUCAAGUUCCUGACAGUGUUCUUGUUUUGCCAUUCUCGAUUGACAUGUUAUUUGGUUUUUGAUAUGGUUAUUGCAUUAGUGAAACAGCAUGUGAUAAGGAGUGCGACGCCCCUGUUUCAAGAGUGUGCUAGCUUUCAGCAAGGCAAAAGUUUAGCUGAAAAUCUUGGAUUUCCACCAAGUGGUUUACAAUGGAAAGGAAAUAAAGUAAUCUCCAGAAGACAACUCCAAGCACAAGCUAAUGCAAUACAAGCUGGAACAACACAGUAAUUGAAGAAUUGAAACUUUGUAUUGAUAUGUAUCUAUUGUAUCUUUGACGUCUUUUGCUUUAAUAUACGAUUGGCGUUUGCACUUUAACCACUUCUUUUGAUGAAACGGUGACGAUGUUAUUGUCGACAACUUUUUAGUAAUUGAAAUAAGAAAUUUGAUUUGAUAUGCA